RNAcentral lists this ribosomal RNA (379 nucleotides) under Klebsiella pneumoniae. RNAcentral's name for it is "bacterial LSU rRNA". It matches the Rfam family "Bacterial large subunit ribosomal RNA", at positions 1476 to 1836 of the family's 2925-position model. The record is from RNAcentral. Lineage: Bacteria; Pseudomonadati; Pseudomonadota; Gammaproteobacteria; Enterobacterales; Enterobacteriaceae.
AGAAGGCUAUGUUAGCCGGGCGACGGUUGUCCCGGUUUAAGCAUGUAGGCUGGUUGUCCAGGCAAAUCCGGAUAAUCAAGGCUGAGGUGUGAUGACGAGGCACUACGGUGCUGAAGUAACAAAUGCCCUGCUUCCAGGAAAAGCCUCUAAGCAUCAGGUAACAUCAAAUCGUACCCCAAACCGACACAGGUGGUCAGGUAGAGAAUACCAAGGCGCUUGAGAGAACUCGGGUGAAGGAACUAGGCAAAAUGGUGCCGUAACUUCGGGAGAAGGCACGCUGGUGUGUAGGUGAAGCCCCUGCGGGUGGAGCUGAGACCAGUCGAAGAUACCAGCUGGCUGCAACUGUUUAUUAAAAACACAGCACUGUGCAAACACGAAA